RNAcentral lists this ribosomal RNA (2904 nucleotides) under Salmonella enterica. Its description in RNAcentral is "23S ribosomal RNA". It matches the Rfam family "Bacterial large subunit ribosomal RNA". The record is from RNAcentral. Lineage: Bacteria; Pseudomonadati; Pseudomonadota; Gammaproteobacteria; Enterobacterales; Enterobacteriaceae.
GGUUAAGCGACUAAGCGUACACGGUGGAUGCCCUGGCAGUCAGAGGCGAUGAAGGGCGUGCUAAUCUGCGAUAAGCGCCGGUAAGGUGAUAUGAACCGUUAUAACCGGCGAUACCCGAAUGGGGAAACCCAGUGUGACUCGUCACACUAUCAUUAACUGAAUCCAUAGGUUAAUGAGGCGAACCGGGGGAACUGAAACAUCUAAGUACCCCGAGGAAAAGAAAUCAACCGAGAUUCCCCCAGUAGCGGCGAGCGAACGGGGAGGAGCCCAGAGCCUGAAUCAGCAUGUGUGUUAGUGGAAGCGUCUGGAAAGGCGCGCGAUACAGGGUGACAGCCCCGUACACAAAAGCGCAUGUGCUGUGAGCUCGAUGAGUAGGGCGGGACACGUGGUAUCCUGUCUGAAUAUGGGGGGACCAUCCUCCAAGGCUAAAUACUCCUGACUGACCGAUAGUGAACCAGUACCGUGAGGGAAAGGCGAAAAGAACCCCGGCGAGGGGAGUGAAAAAGAACCUGAAACCGUGUACGUACAAGCAGUGGGAGCACCCUUUGGGUGUGACUGCGUACCUUUUGUAUAAUGGGUCAGCGACUUAUAUUCUGUAGCAAGGUUAACCGAAUAGGGGAGCCGGAGGGAAACCGAGUCUUAACCGGGCGUUAAGUUGCAGGGUAUAGACCCGAAACCCGGUGAUCUAGCCAUGGGCAGGUUGAAGGUUGGGUAACACUAACUGGAGGACCGAACCGACUAAUGUUGAAAAAUUAGCGGAUGACCUGUGGCUGGGGGUGAAAGGCCAAUCAAACCGGGAGAUAGCUGGUUCUCCCCGAAAGCUAUUUAGGUAGCGCCUCGUGAAUUCAUCUCCGGGGGUAGAGCACUGUUUCGGCUAGGGGGCCAUCCCGGCUUACCAACCCGAUGCAAACUGCGAAUACCGGAGAAUGUUAUCACGGGAGACACACGGCGGGUGCUAACGUCCGUCGUGAAGAGGGAAACAACCCAGACCGCCAGCUAAGGUCCCAAAGUCAUGGUUAAGUGGGAAACGAUGUGGGAAGGCCCAGACAGCCAGGAUGUUGGCUUAGAAGCAGCCAUCAUUUAAAGAAAGCGUAAUAGCUCACUGGUCGAGUCGGCCUGCGCGGAAGAUGUAACGGGGCUAAACCAUGCACCGAAGCUGCGGCAGCGACACUGUGUGUUGUUGGGUAGGGGAGCGUUCUGUAAGCCUGUGAAGGUGUGUCGUGAGGCAUGCUGGAGGUAUCAGAAGUGCGAAUGCUGACAUAAGUAACGAUAAAGCGGGUGAAAAGCCCGCUCGCCGGAAGACCAAGGGUUCCUGUCCAACGUUAAUCGGGGCAGGGUGAGUCGACCCCUAAGGCGAGGCCGAAAGGCGUAGUCGAUGGGAAACGGGUUAAUAUUCCCGUACUUGGUGUUACUGCGAAGGGGGGACGGAGAAGGCUAUGUUGGCCGGGCGACGGUUGUCCCGGUUUAAGCGUGUAGGUGUGUGUUCCAGGUAAAUCCGGUUCACUUUAACACUGAGGCGUGACGACGAGGCACUACGGUGCUGAAGCAACAAAUGCCCUGCUUCCAGGAAAAGCCUCUAAGCAUCAGGUAACAUCAAAUCGUACCCCAAACCGACACAGGUGGUCAGGUAGAGAAUACCAAGGCGCUUGAGAGAACUCGGGUGAAGGAACUAGGCAAAAUGGUGCCGUAACUUCGGGAGAAGGCACGCUGACACGUAGGUGAAGUGAUUUACUCAUGGAGCUGAAGUCAGUCGAAGAUACCAGCUGGCUGCAACUGUUUAUUAAAAACACAGCACUGUGCAAACACGAAAGUGGACGUAUACGGUGUGACGCCUGCCCGGUGCCGGAAGGUUAAUUGAUGGGGUCAGCGCAAGCGAAGCUCCUGAUCGAAGCCCCGGUAAACGGCGGCCGUAACUAUAACGGUCCUAAGGUAGCGAAAUUCCUUGUCGGGUAAGUUCCGACCUGCACGAAUGGCGUAAUGAUGGCCAGGCUGUCUCCACCCGAGACUCAGUGAAAUUGAACUCGCUGUGAAGAUGCAGUGUACCCGCGGCAAGACGGAAAGACCCCGUGAACCUUUACUAUAGCUUGACACUGAACAUUGAGCCUUGAUGUGUAGGAUAGGUGGGAGGCUUUGAAGUGUGGACGCCAGUCUGCAUGGAGCCGACCUUGAAAUACCACCCUUUAAUGUUUGAUGUUCUAACGUGGACCCGUUACCCGGGUUGCGGACAGUGUCUGGUGGGUAGUUUGACUGGGGCGGUCUCCUCCUAAAGAGUAACGGAGGAGCACGAAGGUUGGCUAAUCCUGGUCGGACAUCAGGAGGUUAGUGCAAUGGCAUAAGCCAGCUUGACUGCGAGCGUGACGGCGCGAGCAGGUGCGAAAGCAGGUCAUAGUGAUCCGGUGGUUCUGAAUGGAAGGGCCAUCGCUCAACGGAUAAAAGGUACUCCGGGGAUAACAGGCUGAUACCGCCCAAGAGUUCAUAUCGACGGCGGUGUUUGGCACCUCGAUGUCGGCUCAUCACAUCCUGGGGCUGAAGUAGGUCCCAAGGGUAUGGCUGUUCGCCAUUUAAAGUGGUACGCGAGCUGGGUUUAGAACGUCGUGAGACAGUUCGGUCCCUAUCUGCCGUGGGCGCUGGAGAACUGAGGGGGGCUGCUCCUAGUACGAGAGGACCGGAGUGGACGCAUCACUGGUGUUCGGGUUGUCAUGCCAAUGGCACUGCCCGGUAGCUAAAUGCGGAAGAGAUAAGUGCUGAAAGCAUCUAAGCACGAAACUUGCCCCGAGAUGAGUUCUCCCUGAGACUUUAGGUCUCCUGAAGGAACGUUGAAGACGACGACGUUGAUAGGCCGGGUGUGUAAGCGCAGCGAUGCGUUGAGCUAACCGGUACUAAUGAACCGUGAGGCUUAACCUU